UGGGGAAUUUUGGACAAUGGGCGAAAGCCUGAUCCAGCCAUUCCGCGUGCAGGAUGAAGGCCCUCGGGUUGUAAACUGCUUUUGUACGGAACGAAAAAGCUCCGGCUAAUACCUGGAGUCCAUGACGGUACCGUAAGAAUAAGCACCGGCUAACUACGUGCCAGCAGCCGCGGUAAUACGUAGGGUGCAAGCGUUAAUCGGAAUUACUGGGCGUAAAGCGUGCGCAGGCGGUUUUGUAAGACAGAGGUGA
This 250-nucleotide ribosomal RNA is filed under the name uncultured bacterium. RNAcentral describes it as "partial 16S ribosomal RNA". It matches the Rfam family "Bacterial small subunit ribosomal RNA", at positions 355 to 597 of the family's 1533-position model. The record is from RNAcentral.